GGCGCCGUGCAGUCACUCAACAUGCUCAAGCCAGGGUGAUGUUUCGUCAGUUUCCGAUCUAUUUUCUUUCUUAAGACACUUUCAUGACAGUCGAUGUGUCUAUCAUCCUGCCUGUGCAUAAUGCUGAUGCUUGGCUGGAUGAGUGUCUUCAGUCCGUACUCGACCAACAAUUUAGUGGCUCUCUGGAGCUGUCUACCUUCCUAGAUGCAUGCACAGAUAGGUCUGGUGACAUCCUAGACAAAUGGAAGCCCAGACUCGAAGCCUCUGGUAUUGUCAUUGUGACAGGUGGACACAAUGAUAAACAGCCGAAAGGAGUUGGAUAUGCCAAAAAUCAAGCUGUUCUCCAGAGCCAUGGUAACUUCCUGUGUUUCCUGGAUGCAGAUGAUGUGAUGGACGGUCGUCGCAUUGAAAUGCAGUUGGCUGCCACAGUUAUUCGGCCAUUCACGAUAACUGGUUGCCAAUUUUACAGAGUACCGGCAGGUUCAACCGAGCGAUACACAAAGUGGGCCAACUCCAUUAAUCAGGAACAGCUGAUGACACAGGUCUACACAGCUCAUGGGCCAACUGUUAUCAUGCCUACAUGGUUCUGCUCGAGGGAAACAUUUGACAGAGUGGGUGCAUUUAAUGAGCAUGGCAAGGGGACACCUGAAGACCUGCUUUUCUUCUUUGAGCAUUUACGCCUAGGUGGGAAGGUCUUCCGAGUUGACCAUUGCCUUCUCAUGUACCGAUACCACCCAGCCGCUGCCACUCAUUCAGUCUCACAAGAGUCAAUAUGGGAUAUCAGAAUGAAGGCACUUGAGGAGCGGGUCUUAAGCUGUUGGGACUCCUUUACCAUUUGGAAUGCUGGGAAACAGGGCCGGAGGUUCUAUCGGAGCCUCAGCGAGCAUAAUAAGGAAAAGGUACACAUCAAAUGUGGCCCAGUUUUGUGACGUUGACGUCAAGAAAAUAGAAAAGGGUGUCUACAUAUAUGAAGAGAGCGAGGCCAUUCCCAAGCCACGAGUUCCCAUCAUUCAUUUUAGCAAAGCCAGGCCACCUAUCAUCAUCUGUGUCAAAAUG
This 1056-nucleotide unclassified non-coding RNA is filed under the name Acanthaster planci (crown-of-thorns starfish). RNAcentral's name for it is "uDP-GlcNAc:betaGal beta-1,3-N- acetylglucosaminyltransferase-like protein 1, transcript variant X4". The record is from RNAcentral. Lineage: Eukaryota; Metazoa; Echinodermata; Asteroidea; Valvatida; Acanthasteridae.